ACCGGGAGGGCGAGCAGUGGGGAAGGUAAUUGUCGACAAUGGCGGCAAAGGCCUGAUGCAGGCCAUGCCGCGUGUGUGAAGAAGGCCUUCGGGUUGUAAAGCACUUUCAGUCAGGAGGAAAGGUUAACGGUUAAUACCCGUUAGCUGUGACGUUACUGACAGAAGAAGCACCGGCUAACUCCGUGCCAGCAGCCGCGGUAA
RNAcentral lists this ribosomal RNA (201 nucleotides) under uncultured bacterium. RNAcentral describes it as "partial 16S ribosomal RNA". It matches the Rfam family "Bacterial small subunit ribosomal RNA", at positions 335 to 523 of the family's 1533-position model. The record is from RNAcentral.